GACGAACGCUGGCGGCGUGCUUAACACAUGCCAGUCGAACGGAAAGGCCCUGCUUUUGUGGGGUGCUCGAGUGGCGAACGGGUGAGUAACACGUGAGUAACCUGCCCUUGACUUUGGGAUAACUUCAGGAAACUGGGGCUAAUACCGGAUAGGAGCUCCUGCUGCAUGGUGGGGGUUGGAAAGUUUCGGCGGUUGGGAUGGACCUGCGGGUUAUCAGCUUGUUGGUGGGGUAGUGGCUUACCAAGGCUUUGACGGGUAGCCGGCCUGGGAGGGUGACCGGCCACAUUGGGACUGAGAUACGGCCCAGACUCCUACGGGAGGCAGCAGUGGGGAAUAUUGCACAAUGGGCGGAAGCCUGAUGCAGCAACGCCGCGUGCGGGAUGACGGCCUUCGGGUUGUAAACCGCUUUCGCCUGUGACGAAGCGUGAGUGACGGUAAUGGGUAAAGAAGCACCGGCUAACUACGUG
Molecule: ribosomal RNA, 467 nt
Filed under: uncultured bacterium
Lineage: Bacteria
Description: partial 16S ribosomal RNA
Rfam family: Bacterial small subunit ribosomal RNA
Source: RNAcentral